Molecule: non-coding RNA, 24 nt
Filed under: Arabidopsis thaliana (thale cress)
Lineage: Eukaryota; Viridiplantae; Streptophyta; Magnoliopsida; Brassicales; Brassicaceae
Source: RNAcentral
AAGCGUGGUGGGCCCAUAACCCAC